This 511-nucleotide ribosomal RNA is filed under the name Staphylococcus aureus. Its description in RNAcentral is "partial 23S ribosomal RNA". It matches the Rfam family "Bacterial large subunit ribosomal RNA", at positions 176 to 686 of the family's 2925-position model. The record is from RNAcentral. Lineage: Bacteria; Bacillati; Bacillota; Bacilli; Caryophanales; Staphylococcaceae.
AAGGCAUACCCGGAGAACUGAAACAUCUUAGUACCCGGAGGAAGAGAAAGAAAAUUCGAUUCCCUUAGUAGCGGCGAGCGAAACGGGAAGAGCCCAAACCAACAAGCUUGCUUGUUGGGGUUGUAGGACACUCUAUACGGAGUUACAAAGGACGACAUUAGACGAAUCAUCUGGAAAGAUGAAUCAAAGAAGGUAAUAAUCCUGUAGUCGAAAAUGUUGUCUCUCUUGAGUGGAUCCUGAGUACGACGGAGCACGUGAAAUUCCGUCGGAAUCUGGGAGGACCAUCUCCUAAGGCUAAAUACUCUCUAGUGACCGAUAGUGAACCAGUACCGUGAGGGAAAGGUGAAAAGCACCCCGGAAGGGGAGUGAAAUAGAACCUGAAACCGUGUGCUUACAAGUAGUCAGAGCCCGUUAAUGGGUGAUGGCGUGCCUUUUGUAGAAUGAACCGGCGAGUUACGAUUUGAUGCAAGGUUAAGCAGUAAAUGUGGAGCCGUAGCGAAAGCGAGUCUGA